GACGAACGCUGGCGGCGUGCCUAAUACAUGCAAGUAGAACGCUGAAGGAGGAGCUUGCUCUUCUGGAUGAGUUGCGAACGGGUGAGUAACGCGUAGGUAACCUGCCUGGUAGCGGGGGAUAACUAUUGGAAACGAUAGCUAAUACCGCAUAAGAGUAGAUGUUGCAUGACAUUUACUUAAAAGGUGCAAUUGCAUUACUACCAGAUGGACCUGCGUUGUAUUAGCUAGUUGGUGGGGUAACGGCUUACCAAGGCGACGAUACAUAGCCGACCUGAGAGGGUGAUCGGCCACACUGGGACUGAGACACGGCCCAGACUCCUACGGGAGGCAGCAGUAGGGAAUCUUCGGCAAUGGACGGAAGUCUGACCGAGCAACGCCGCGUGAGUGAAGAAGGUUUUCGGAUCGUAAAGCUCUGUUGUAAGAGAAGAACGAGUGUGAGAGUGGAAAGUUCACACUGUGACGGUAGCUUACCAGAAAGGGACGGCUAACUACGUG
This 495-nucleotide ribosomal RNA is filed under the name uncultured bacterium. RNAcentral describes it as "partial 16S ribosomal RNA". It matches the Rfam family "Bacterial small subunit ribosomal RNA", at positions 28 to 507 of the family's 1533-position model. The record is from RNAcentral.